CCUACGGGUGGCAGCAGUGGGGAAUCUUCCGCAAUGGGCGCAAGCCUGACGGAGCAACGCCUCGUGAAUGAAGAAGGUCUUCGGAUCGUAAAGUUCUUUUCUUAGGGAAGAAGUCUUAGGUUGUGAAUAAUUACUUAAGGUGACUGUACCUAUGGAGAAAGCUCCGGCUAACUACGUGCCCGCAGUCGCGGUAAUACGUCGGGCGCGAGCGUUGUUCGGAAUUACUGGGCGUAAAGGGCGCGUAGGCGGGAACGUAAGUUAGAUGUGAAAACCGCGGGCGUAACCUGGGGAAUGCAUUUAAAACUGGGUUUCUUUAGGGCAGGAGAGGAAAGUUGAAUGUCUAGGGUAGCGGUGAAAUGCGUAGAUAUUAGGAGGAACACCAGUGGCGAAGGCGACUUUCUGGACUGGACCUGACGCUGAGGCGCGAAAGCAUGGGGAGCGAACAGGAUUAGAUACCCGUGUAGUC
RNAcentral lists this ribosomal RNA (466 nucleotides) under uncultured bacterium. RNAcentral's name for it is "partial 16S ribosomal RNA". It matches the Rfam family "Bacterial small subunit ribosomal RNA", at positions 338 to 795 of the family's 1533-position model. The record is from RNAcentral.